UCCUCCUUACAUAACACAAAAACAACUGAUCCAGCUUGGCACCAACUUUCUCCUCCAAAGUCACCUUUGUCUGAAAUCUAGCACCUCAGGUUUCAGUCAAAUACCUUGCAGAUGAGAAAAGGUUUCUUAACAAAAAUUUCUUGUAAUUUUACGACAGUGUUCAUUCCCGGCAGCCUCGGAGAAUCCUUUUUUCAUAGGUUGAAGAUCAGGAUUUAUAACACAGAACAAAUGUGGCCUGAUCACAAAGCUUAUGUAUUGGGGCCAGUUAGAAGGAGAAGAGAGAAAUUUGGUCACCUUGGAGUCUGGAGAAGGCAGCUGGCCCCACAGCUGGCCAGACCGCCAUCCAAGCAGGGGGCCUCUCUGAGAACAAAAUCCAGAAGCCAAAAUACAUGGGUCAGGUGGAAAA
Long non-coding RNA from Lontra canadensis (Northern American river otter), 406 nucleotides. RefSeq lists it as uncharacterized. NCBI's taxonomy places the organism in Eukaryota, Metazoa, Chordata, Mammalia, Carnivora, Mustelidae. The transcript is spliced from 3 exons. The record is from RefSeq and is a predicted model, not a curated record.